This 440-nucleotide ribosomal RNA is filed under the name uncultured bacterium. RNAcentral describes it as "partial 16S ribosomal RNA". It matches the Rfam family "Bacterial small subunit ribosomal RNA", at positions 338 to 795 of the family's 1533-position model. The record is from RNAcentral.
CCUACGGGAGGCAGCAGUGGGGAAUAUUGCACAAUGGGGGGAACCCUGAUGCAGCAAUGCCGCGUGGGUGAAGAAGCACUCCGGUGCGUAAAGCUCUAUCAGCAGGGAAGAAAAUGACGGUACCUGGACAAGAAGCCCCGGCUAACUACGUGCCCGCAGCCGCGGUAAUACGUAGGGGGCAAGCGUUAUCCGGAUUUACUGGGUGUAAAGGGAGCGCAGGCGGCGUGGCAAGUCAGAUGUGAAAACCCGGGGCGCAACCCCGGGAGUGCUUUUGAAACUGGUGUGCUGGAGUGCAGGAGAGGUAAGCGGAAUUCCUAGUGUAGCGGUGAAAUGCGUAGAUAUUAGGAGGAACACCAGUGGCGGAGGCGGCUUACUGGACGGUAAAUGACGCUGAGGCUCGAAAGCGUGGGGAGCAAACAGGAGUAGAUACCCGUGUAGUC